Molecule: ribosomal RNA, 387 nt
Filed under: uncultured bacterium
Lineage: Bacteria
Description: bacterial SSU rRNA
Rfam family: Bacterial small subunit ribosomal RNA
Source: RNAcentral
GACGAACGCUGGCGGCGUGCUUAACACAUGCAAGUCGAGCGGUAAGGCCCUUCGGGUACGACGAGCGGCGAACGGGUGAGUAACACGUGGGUGACCUGCCUCUAGCUCUGGGAUAAGCCUGGGAAACUGGGUCUAAUACCGGAUAUGACUCCACGGCGCAUGUUGUGGGGUGGAAAGCCUUGUGUGGCUAGAGAUGGGCCCGCGGCCUAUCAGCUUGUUGGUGGGGUGAUGGCCACCAAGGCGACGACGGGUAGCCGGCCUGAGAGGGCGACCGGCCGACACUGGGGACUGAGACACGGCCCAGACUCCUACGGGAGGCAGCAGUGGGGAAUCUUGCGCAAUGGGCGAAAGCCUGACGCAGCGACGCCGCGUGAGGGAUGACGGCCU